AGAGAGGGAGACACAGAAUCCCAAGCAGGCUCCAGGCUGCCAGCACAGAGCCCGAUGCAGGGCUUGAACUCACAAACUGUGAGAUCAUGACAUGAGCUGAAUGAAGUCAGACACUUAGCCAACUGAGCCACAGGUGCCCCCAGAUCUUGAAUUUUUAAAUGGGAGUGCAGAGGGUCAGAGAGAGAAAGAUUUCAAAAAAGGAAUGAGUGAAUGAGUAGCUAAGACUGCAGAAAGUGGCUGCUCUAAAUGUGGUCUGUAGGUUAAGCAGCAUUGGCAUCACCGGGGGCUAUUCUGAAUUGCGUGAUCUCAGACACUACCCAAAUUUCCUAAGCCAGAAUCUUCAUUUUAAUGAUUCAUGUGCACAUUAAAAUUUGAGAAAUAUUGGCCUAGUGUUUUAAUGCAACUUAAACAUAUCUUUUGGAUUUAAAGAUGAAGGUCAUUGAUGACUUCUGAGAAAACAGAUUUUAAAAAGGGUUGGGACAAAAGCCAAGAUGCAUGGAGGUGUGGAGUGAAAGACAGGAGACAAAGUGAAAGCAGUUAUGAUUGAGGCUACAGUAAAGGAACAGGGAGCCAAGAAGUGGAUUGGUGGCAGGAGAGACGUGUAUGGGCUUGGGGGGGGAGUGUUAAAUUAUUUUUUAAGAUGAGAAAGCUUAAAUAUUUUAAUUGAUGAAAAGGAAUCGGUGGCAAAAAAAAAAAAAUAAUAAGAUUAUGGAGUUUGGAUAAUCAGUGGGCUGAGGUGCCAGAGAAUUGAGACAGAAUGAUAUGGGAGAAGAGUUUGGGCACAGGAUACUGUCUGUUUAAAAGUAAGAGGGCUACCUUUCACAUCAUUACAGGAAGUAAGGUAAAUUAUAUGUAUAAAAGCAAAGUUUUAGUUGGGAUGCAGAAAGUUGAAGAUGAUAUCAAUGAUAUCAUUUAAUGAUAUUAAUUAUCUUUAUGGUCACCUACCAUGGAUAAUCAAAAGGUGGUGGAUAUGCUGUUUUGGCAGAGUAGAGCUUCAAGGGAGAUAUUGUAGAGUAUGGAAUGAUAACAGAUUAUAGAAACAAAAUAUUUUCAUGCACUGUUUCAUGUACAAUUGAUGUUAAAAGCUGUGACUAUAUGGAGACAAUCUUCAGUAUAGCUAUGUGAUUUUUACCAGCUAUGCUCAUCAGUUAAGCAAUAUGACUAAGAGGGAAGAUUGGUCCAGAAGUGGAAUUUACCAGAUGUGUUGUGAUGGUUAAUUUUGUGUCAACUUAACUGGCCUGAGGGAUGCCCAGAUAGCUGGUAAAACAUUCUUUCUGCAUGUCUGUGAGAAUUUCCAGGAGAGAUUAGUGGAUUGGAGGCAGGAGAGGCACGUAUGGGUUUGGAGAGUGUUAAAUUAUUUUUUAAGAUGAGAAAGCUUAAAUAUUUGAAAUGAUGAAAAGGAAUCAGUGGCAGAAAAAAAUAAGAUUAUAGAGUGAGAUUAUUUGACUGAGUGGAAUGACCAAAGAGAUCUCCUCUCACUAGUGUGGGCAGGUAUUGUCUAGUCCACUGGGGGUCUGAAUGGAACAGAAAGAUGGAGAAAGAACAAAUUGUCUCCCUCUUACCCUUUUCUCUCUUCAUGAGCUGGAACAUCCAUCUUUUUCUGCUGUCAGACCAUGGAGAUCCUGGUUCUCAGGCCUUUGGACAUGGAGGGAAUUAUACCACCGGCUUUCUUGGUCUUCCAGCUUGCAGAUGGCAGACUUUGGGACUUCUUGGCCUCUCUAAUGAAAUAACAGGUGGACAGAGUGAGAUGAGAAUACCAGCACGAAGAAGUUGAAGAAAUAUGUCCUGGAGAAUGUUGGAUGAGAAGGAAGAGAAAAUAGCAGAUGAGACAGAAGACUAUGAAGGAACUGGAGGAACAGAUGUUAUUAAAGAAAAGAUUUGGUGAGAGUAACUUCAUGAGGACAAUCAAAACAGAUGAUUGUCAUCUGAGAAGGCAUAUUGAAAGUAAAAGGAUAGAGGACUAGGAAGAUGGCGGCGUAGGAGGACGCUGGGCUCACCGUGCGUCCUGCUGAUCACUUAGAUUCCACCUACACCUGCCUAAAUAACCCAGAAAACCACCAGAGGAUUAGCAGAACGGAGUCUCCGGAGCCAAGCGCAGACGAGAGGCCCACGGAAGAGGGUAGGAAGGGCGGCGAGGCGGUGCGCGCUCCACAGACUGGCGGGAGGGAGCCAGGGUGGAGGGGCGGCUCGCUGACCAAGCAGAGCCCCCGAGUCUGGCUUGCAAAAGCGGAGGGGCCGGACGGAGUGUGUUCUGACAGCAAGCGGGACUUAGCAUCUGGGAGGUCAUAAGUUAACAGCUCUGCUCAGAAAGCGGGAAGGCUGGAGGACAAAGGGAGGGAGAGUUGCUGAGCCCCAGGAUGACAGAGCUCAGUUUGGCGGGGAACAAAGGCACUCGCCAGCACCAUCUCCCUCGCCCAUCCCCCAGCGAAAAUCCCAAAGGGAACCGGUUCCUGCCAGGGAACUUGAUCGCUCUGCGCAAACACCCAGCGCUGUGCUUCUGCGGAGCCACCCCUCCGGCAGCGGGCCUGACUCCCUCCUGCUGCCACAGGGCCCCUCCUGAAGUGGAUCACCUAAGGAGAAACGAGCUAAGCCUGCCCCUCCUGCCCCCGAGCACCUUGCCUACCCACCCCAGCUAAUACACCAGAUCCCCAGCACCACAAGCCUGGCAGUGUGCAAGUAGCCCAGACGGGCCACGCCACCCCACACUGAAUCCCACCCCUAGGAGAGGGGAAGAGAAGGCACACACCAGUCUGACUGUGGCCCCAGCGGUGGGCUGGGGGCAGACAUCAGGUCUGACUGCGGCCCCACCCACCAACUCCAGUUAUACACCACAGCACAGGGGAAGUGCCCUGCAGGUCCGCACCACUCCAGGGACUAGCCAAAAUGACCAAACAGAAGAAUUCCCCUCAGAAAAACGUCCAGGAAAUAACAACAGCUAAUGAACUGAUCAAAAAUGAUUUAAACAAUAUAACAGAAAGUGAAUUUAGA
Long non-coding RNA from Acinonyx jubatus (cheetah), 2988 nucleotides. RefSeq lists it as uncharacterized. NCBI's taxonomy places the organism in Eukaryota, Metazoa, Chordata, Mammalia, Carnivora, Felidae. The record is from RefSeq and is a predicted model, not a curated record. The transcript has 3 exons.